CAGUAGCCACGGUAAAACGUAGGGUGCGAGCGUUAAUCGGAAUUACUGGGCGUAAAGCGAGCGCAGACGGUUAUUUAAGCAGGAUGUGAAAUCCCCGGGCUUAACCUGGGAACUGCGUCCUGAACUGGAUAGCUAGAGUGUGUCAGAGGGGGGUAGAAUUCCACGUGUAGCAGUGAAAUGCGUAGAGAUGUGGAGGAAUACCGAUGGCGAAGGCAGCCCCCUGGGAUAACACUGACGUUCAUGCUCGAAAGCGUGGGUAGCAAACAGGAUUAGAUACCCCCGUAGUCCCUGUCUCUUAUAC
RNAcentral lists this ribosomal RNA (301 nucleotides) under uncultured bacterium. RNAcentral's name for it is "partial 16S ribosomal RNA". It matches the Rfam family "Bacterial small subunit ribosomal RNA", at positions 509 to 807 of the family's 1533-position model. The record is from RNAcentral.